GAAGAUCAACUUCUGGAAAUGCACGAUCCAAGGCUUGGCAAGCUUCAAAUCUACUCCAGAAUACUUGCUAUGAUGUUUGAUGAAGAAAUUGAAGCUUGAAACUGUGUAGAUCUAGCUCAAAUCUCAACUGCCAUGGCAAUGUUCUUGAGCUUCAACUGCUUGAUUAUGGCUCCAAUUCCUCAAACAAAAGCUGGAUUCACACU
RNAcentral lists this long non-coding RNA (203 nucleotides) under Lathyrus oleraceus (garden pea). RNAcentral's name for it is "Pisum sativum (pea) long non-coding RNA (PSAT_LNC037736)". Lineage: Eukaryota; Viridiplantae; Streptophyta; Magnoliopsida; Fabales; Fabaceae. The record is from RNAcentral.